Molecule: ribosomal RNA, 790 nt
Filed under: uncultured bacterium
Lineage: Bacteria
Description: SSU rRNA
Rfam family: Bacterial small subunit ribosomal RNA
Source: RNAcentral
ACAGAAGAGCUUGCUCUUUGGGUGGCGAGUGGCGGACGGGUGAGUAAUGUCUGGGAAACUGCCCGAUGGAGGGGGAUAACUACUGGAAACGGUAGCUAAUACCGCAUAACGUCGCAAGACCAAAGUGGGGGACCUUCGGGCCUCACACCAUCGGAUGUGCCCAGAUGGGAUUAGCUAGUAGGUGGGGUAAUGGCUCACCUAGGCGACGAUCCCUAGCUGGUCUGAGAGGAUGACCAGCCACACUGGAACUGAGACACGGUCCAGACUCCUACGGGAGGCAGCAGUGGGGAAUAUUGCACAAUGGGCGCAAGCCUGAUGCAGCCAUGCCGCGUGUAUGAAGAAGGCCUUCGGGUUGUAAAGUACUUUCAGCGGGGAGGAAGGCGGUGAGGUUAAUAACCUUGCCGAUUGACGUUACCCGCAGAAGAAGCACCGGCUAACUCCGUGCCAGCAGCCGCGGUAAUACGGAGGGUGCAAGCGUUAAUCGGAAUUACUGGGCGUAAAGCGCACGCAGGCGGUCUGUUAAGUCAGAUGUGAAAUCCCCGGGCUUAACCUGGGAACUGCAUUUGAAACUGGCAGGCUUGAGUCUCGUAGAGGGGGGUAGAAUUCCAGGUGUAGCGGUGAAAUGCGUAGAGAUCUGGAGGAAUACCGGUGGCGAAGGCGGCCCCCUGGACGAAGACUGACGCUCAGGUGCGAAAGCGUGGGGAGCAAGCAGGAUUAGAUACCCUGGUAGUCCACGCCGUAAACGAUGUCGACUUGGAGGUUGUGCCCUUGAGGCGUGGCUUCCGGAGCU